CACAACAUAGACGUGACUGUGAGAAUAGAAAGGAGUCAACUGCACUGGCUUGUCAUGCUCUAUCACUUGGGCAUAGUUUUGAUUUUGAGAAUGUUGACGUUUUAAAUCGGGAGUCUAAUUGGUUUAGGCGGGGGUUCAAUGAAAUGAUCUAUAUUAAUAAACAUCCUAAUGCAGUUAAUUUCCGUUCGGAUAUUGGCUCCUUGAGUGUUGUUUAUUCAAAUUUGAUUCAAAAAAUUAAGUUAAAAUGAAAUCGUUGAAACACGUUGGAUCCGCCACUGUACGUUUGAAAAUUGUUCUCGUGGUUUGUCAUGUGUGGGUGCUGUUUUUGUGAUGUUGGGGUUCAGUUGACUCUCGGAUAUCUCCAUUGUGUGUGAGCCGUGUUGAUUCUGUGUACAUCGAUGAUUUUGAUCCUUGUUAUACCUAAAUGCUUAUUUUAUGUUGCAGACGAUUUUCUUUAAUGAAAGAUUCAAUUUUUUAAUUUUUUCUUGUAUUCCGAUGCCUGAAGAAGGCCCAAUAAAGGUGCCGAAACGUCGCUGAAGGAAUA
Molecule: long non-coding RNA, 544 nt
Organism: Coccinella septempunctata (seven-spotted ladybird)
Lineage: Eukaryota; Metazoa; Arthropoda; Insecta; Coleoptera; Coccinellidae
Exons: 2
Source: RefSeq, a predicted model, not a curated record